Molecule: ribosomal RNA, 424 nt
Filed under: Verrucomicrobiota bacterium
Lineage: Bacteria; Pseudomonadati; Verrucomicrobiota
Description: Verrucomicrobia bacterium partial 16S ribosomal RNA
Rfam family: Bacterial small subunit ribosomal RNA
Source: RNAcentral
UGAGGAAUAUUGGUCAAUGGACGGAAGUCUGAACCAGCCAAGUAGCGUGCAGGAUGACGGCCCUAUGGGUUGUAAACUGCUUUUGUAUGGGGAUAAAGUUAGGGACGUGUCCCUAUUUGCAGGUACCAUACGAAUAAGGACCGGCUAAUUCCGUGCCAGCAGCCGCGGUAAUACGGAAGGUCCAGGCGUUAUCCGGAUUUAUUGGGUUUAAAGGGAGCGUAGGCUGGAGAUUAAGUGUGUUGUGAAAUGUAGACGCUCAACGUCUGAAUUGCAGCGCAUACUGGUUUCCUUGAGUACGCACAACGUUGGCGGAAUUCGUCGUGUAGCGAUGAAAUGCUUAGAUAUGACGAAGAACUCCGAUUGCGAAGGCAGCUGACGGGAGCGCAACUGACGCUUAAGCUCGAAGGUGCGGGUAUCAAACAGG